GCUGGAGUAGCUCAGCCGGUAGAGCGACUGAUUCGUAAUCAGUAGGUCGUGGGUUCAAGUCCCAUCCCCAGCU
This 73-nucleotide transfer RNA is filed under the name Butyrivibrio sp. RNAcentral's name for it is "tRNA-Thr". It matches the Rfam family "tRNA". From Rfam's summary of the family: Transfer RNA (tRNA) molecules are approximately 80 nucleotides in length. Their secondary structure includes four short double-helical elements and three loops (D, anti-codon, and T loops). Lineage: Bacteria; Bacillati; Bacillota; Clostridia; Lachnospirales; Lachnospiraceae. The record is from RNAcentral.